Molecule: ribosomal RNA, 451 nt
Filed under: uncultured bacterium
Lineage: Bacteria
Description: partial 16S ribosomal RNA
Rfam family: Bacterial small subunit ribosomal RNA
Source: RNAcentral
AACGAACGCUGGCGGCAGGCCUAACACAUGCAAGUCGAACGGAUGUAGCAAUACAUUAGUGGCGCACGGGAGAGUAACGCGUGGGAACCUACCUUUUGGUUCGGGAUAACGUCGGGAAACUGACGCUAAUACCGGAUACGCCCUUCGGGGGAAAGAUUUAUCGCCAUUAGAUGGGCCCGCGUUAGAUUAGCUUGUUGGUGAGGUAAUGGCUCACCAAGGCUACGAUCUAUAGCUGGUCUAAGAGGAUGAUCAGCCUCACUGGGACUGAGACACGGCCCAGACUCCUACGGGAGGCAGCAGUGGGGAAUAUUGGACAAUGGGGGCAACCCUGAUCCAGCCAUGCCGCGUGAAUGAUGAAGGCCUUCGGGUUGUAAAGUUCUUUUGGCGGGGACGAUGAUGACGGUACCCGCAGAAUAGGCUCCGGCUAACUUCGUGCCAGCCGCCGCCGUAA